CCUACGGGAGGCAGCAGUGAGGAAUAUUGGUCAAUGGACGAGAGUCUGAACCAGCCAAGUAGCGUGAAUGAUGACUGCCCUAUGGGUUGUAAACUUCUUUUAUAUGGGAAUAAAAUGUUCCACGUGUGGGAUUUUGUAUGUACCAUAUGAAUAAGGAUCGGCUAACUCCGUGCCAGCCGCCGCGUUAAUACGGAGGAUCCGAGCGUUAUCCGGAUUUAUUGGGUUUAAAGGGAGCGUAGGUGGAUUGUUAAGUCAGUUGUGAAAGUUUGCGGCUCAACCGUAAAAUUGCAGUUGAAACUGGCAGUCUUGAGUAAAGUAGAGGUGGGCGGAAUUCGUGGUGUAGCGGUGAAAUGCUUAGAUAUCACGAAGAACUCCGAUUGCGAAGGCAGCUCACUGGACUGCAACUGACACUGAGGCUCGAAAGUGUGGGUAUCAAACAGGAUUAGAUACCCCAGUAGUC
Molecule: ribosomal RNA, 460 nt
Filed under: uncultured bacterium
Lineage: Bacteria
Description: partial 16S ribosomal RNA
Rfam family: Bacterial small subunit ribosomal RNA
Source: RNAcentral